CCAACUUCAUCAUCGGCAUAUGCUGAAGAUCCCACAAUCGGUCCAUCACCCACCCUGCAUCACGGAAAGCAUUUCUUCGAUGACUGGAUGGUUAGAUCAAAAGGGGAGCCGGCCGAAAGUUUUAUGUAAAUAUGUAGAUCUAUUGCAAGCACCUUUUAGAUGGGCAACUUGUUAUUUGCUCUUCGAAGAGGAAAGGAAUGGGUCUCUCAGAUCUGCACGAGAAGAACAAUUUUAAAAUCUUGUAAUUUUGAGUGGGUCACCCAGUAAUGGGUCUCUCAGAAUCGAGUGGGUCUUCGUCAGGAAGAGCCGAUCGGAGCUGGACCCAGGCCGGUGGCUGAAAAUUGCGACGAUUAGAGGUGUGGCGGCUAUCCUAGACGCGAUGAAGUGGGCGAUUUUCGAUCAAAAUGCUCAGAUCCGUGAGGGCCCACGUCGCGAAGGACAUAUUAGGGCUGGGUUUGGUCUGGAGUAUGAACGGCAGCCACGAGAGAUGGAGAUCGUCGCUGGGUUGAGGCCGGAUGUGGAGAUGGAGCGUCGGAAUCGUCAUUUCAUAAUAGUAUGGAAUUUUGUUAUUGUGUGAAAUUACUCUGGAAUUUUUUUGCCCUAAUUGACCUUAUUUUGAACAUUUCAGGAUUUGACCUAAAUUAUUUAUUUACCUUUGCAA
Long non-coding RNA from Morus notabilis, 661 nucleotides. RefSeq lists it as uncharacterized. The transcript is spliced from 2 exons. Lineage: Eukaryota; Viridiplantae; Streptophyta; Magnoliopsida; Rosales; Moraceae. The record is from RefSeq and is a predicted model, not a curated record.